ACCGAGCCCGGCUGUUUAUUUUUUGAGUUGGAAUCUCAUUCUGUCGCU
RNAcentral lists this small nucleolar RNA (48 nucleotides) under Carlito syrichta (Philippine tarsier). RNAcentral's name for it is "Small nucleolar RNA Me28S-Am2634 (ENSTSYG00000029064.1)". The record is from RNAcentral. Lineage: Eukaryota; Metazoa; Chordata; Mammalia; Primates; Tarsiidae.